This 253-nucleotide ribosomal RNA is filed under the name uncultured bacterium. RNAcentral describes it as "partial 16S ribosomal RNA". It matches the Rfam family "Bacterial small subunit ribosomal RNA", at positions 524 to 776 of the family's 1533-position model. The record is from RNAcentral.
UACGGAGGGUGCGAGCGUUAAUCGGAAUUACUGGGCGUAAAGGGUGCGCGGGCGGUUUAAUAAGUUAGCUGUGAAAUUCCUGGGCUUAACCUAGGGUGGUCAGCUAAGACUGUUAGACUAGAGUAUAGGAGAGGGUAGUGGAAUUUCCGGUGUAGCGGUGAAAUGCGUAGAGAUCGGAAGGAACACCAGUGGCGAAGGCGGCUACCUGGCCUAAUACUGACACUGAGGCACGAAAGCGUGGGGAGCAAACAGG